AGAUUAGUAAGAUAUCUAAAUCUCUAAGUCUUUUAAACUUAUCAUGCCUCAAGGCCUAAUCUG
Molecule: transfer RNA, 63 nt
Filed under: Brachionus rubens
Lineage: Eukaryota; Metazoa; Rotifera; Eurotatoria; Ploima; Brachionidae
Description: tRNA-Lys
Source: RNAcentral